ACGUAGGGGGCAAGCGUUAUCCGGAUUUACUGGGUGUAAAGGGAGCGUAGACGGCGACGCAAGUCUGAAGUGAAAUACCCGGGCUCAACCUGGGAACUGCUUUGGAAACUGUGUUGCUGGAGUGCUGGAGAGGUAAGCGGAAUUCCUAGUGUAGCGGUGAAAUGCGUAGAUAUUAGGAAGAACACCAGUGGCGAAGGCGGCUUACUGGACAGUAACUGACGUUGAGGCUCGAAAGCGUGGGGAGCAAACAG
Molecule: ribosomal RNA, 251 nt
Filed under: uncultured bacterium
Lineage: Bacteria
Description: partial 16S ribosomal RNA
Rfam family: Bacterial small subunit ribosomal RNA
Source: RNAcentral